This 2078-nucleotide long non-coding RNA is filed under the name Equus caballus (horse). Its description in RNAcentral is "lncRNA (ENSECAG00000054994.1)". The record is from RNAcentral. Lineage: Eukaryota; Metazoa; Chordata; Mammalia; Perissodactyla; Equidae.
AUGUUGGCAUACGUGGUGGUUUUAAAACAAAUUCAAAAAUUCUUUGACAUUUGUCCCAUCAAAGUGUGGAAUCCAAUUCCUCUCCUCUAGAAUAUAGGCUAGCUUUAGUGACUUGCUUCCAACAGAUAUAAUACAGUGAAUGUAAUGCUGCAUGACUCCCGACACUAGGUCAUAAAAUCAAUAUAGCUUCCACCUGGCUUUCUCUCUCUCGAGACGCUUGUUCUUGGAACCCAGCUGUCAUGCUAUGAGGAAACCCAGACCACAUAGAGAAGCCACAUGUAAGUGUUCCAGCUGAAAGCCCCAGCUGAGUUCCUAGCCAGCAACCAGAAUCAACUGCCAGACAUGUGAAUGAGGAAGUCUUCGAGAUCACUCCAGCUCUAGCCAUUGUCUGACUGCAACUGUAUGAGAGACUCUGAGCAAGAGCCACAUAAAUAAGCCCAGUCAAUCCUCAGAGUCUUGAGAGAUAAUAACCAAUAAUUGUCAUUUUACAUCACUAAGUUUGUUAUGCAGUGUUAAAUAACCAAUACAGCAAAUUUCCUUCCAGUUUUUUGUGCGCAUUACAUUUUAAUUACAACAUUGGAAUUACAAAGUAUAUACGAUUUCGUAUUCUACUUUUCUCACCUUGCAUUAUUCAUGACCAUUUUACCACAACAUUAAAAUUUGUCUAAAAGAUCAUUAUAAUAGGCUCCUAAUAUUCUGCCAUACAGAUAUUUCAAAUGUGUUUAACCAGUCUUUAUUGUCAGACAUUUAUAUUAUUUUCCAAUUUUUCACCAUCAUAAAUAAUGCUGCAGUGAACAUUCUUGCAUCUACAACUUUUUUUAAGCAUGUUUAUUUUGGCGUUUGAAUAACAAAAGCAACACAGGUUAACUGAAACACUUCAAAGACAAUAAAAAAGUUUCUAAAGUUAAAUUGAUAUAUUCUUCCACUCCCCAUCCAAAGCCAUCCCCCAAUGUAAUCACUGUUAAAAAUCUAGUAUGACUCCUUACACACUUUAUUCUUCAUGUAUACAAACAUAUAAACAUAUAAUACUAGUUCACUUUCUUUCACAAACAUGGGGUUACUAUAGCCUUCUCUUUUACUCAGCAAUAUAUCAUGGAUGGCUUUCCAAGUCAAUAUGCCUUAUUCCUUUUAAUGAUUGGAGAGUAGUCCAUAGUAUAAAUACACCAUAAUUUACAUAACUGUUCCUUAUCAGCGGACACUCUGAUUGUUGCUAUUACUAUUGCAGUAAACACUCUUGUAAACUUACCUAUACAAUACUGGCACUUUUAUUUCUGACAGUUAAAUUAUCAUAAGUGAGAUUUCCAAGUCAAGGAGCAUGUGAAUUUUUCAUUUUAAUAAAUACAAUUGGAGGACUUCCAAUUAAAUAUGACAUUAAAUACAUGUUUAUCUAUUAUCUCUUCUAAAACUACGCUAAAAUGAAGAGAAAUUAGUUUUUUAAGGGGUAAAAUCCCACAAAGACAGAGAGAAUGGUAAUGAAGGCAGCAGAAGACUAGAUAUGCCAAGACGUUUUUGGAAGAUAGAAAGUAGAUGCAGGUUAGCAGAGCUGAAGGGACUGAAGAGCAAAUGUCUGCAGAGUGGGGGCUGCAAAAUGAGAAGCAAGACAAUUCAUGCUGUGGAAUGCCUGGGAAGCUCAGAAAUUAGAGACACCAGUGACCAAAGAAAGCAGGGGUGUGUCAAGAGGCCGAAAGCAGAGGAUUUGGUUGCAUGUGUGCGAGAAAAGCAGCUAGACCACUCUUAGUUCUCCUCCCUCAACCUGCUCAGCCAGGAAAAUACCUUUUCCCUACUCUGGCAGGAGAUUGGAAGUUUAUUCAAACUAAAUUGAUCCACAGAAGCCCCAGACCCAGAUGCCCCAGAUAGAGUUAAAAAUAGGGAAUGGGCAUUCUAUUGAAAAUAGGGGCACUAAAUGAAAGUCUACAAUAAGGUCCCUUUUCCUACACUCCAAAAACAUUGGUUCCAAGAACACCAGCAGUCAGGUAUAUAUUUUCCAGGCAUUUAUGGGAAACCAGGAGACAGAAUGAGGAGCAGGUUUCUUUGUGACUGAUUUACUCUGGAUAGCAGCAGCUGUUUCUUUUACCUGC